CUUCCUUAUACUCUGGGGUACAUCCACAUGCUGUUGCACUUGAGUAUGUGAGAAAAAAUUGCAAGUUGUAAAAUUCGUUUAACUGGUUUUGGGACAUUGUAACAGUGCUUUUGUCUGAAGACUAUAAUGUACAUGCAUAGAUUAACUGUUUUGCAUUUUAUUGAUAUACAUAACUAGGUGUGACACUUACAUUACAUUUUCUUUCUGCUAUAGUUUGAAGAAUUGGUUAAUAGGACUAAAAGCAAAUCAUUGUACACUUUUUCUAGCUACAAAAACUGUUGCAGAACAAGUUAUGUGUGUACUACUAUGAAGCUGUAGUUUACAGCAAUGGAGCAUAUAUACCGGUUAAGGAAAGGGAAAACACUCACCAUCUCAGUCUAUUUGUGCUUUAUAAAUUAACUUUUCCAUUAUGAGAAAUGGAGGCCUUGUCACUAUUUUCAUGUAUGUUUACUAGAGGGACAGAGCAGUUUUCUGAAAAGUGGUAUCGUUUGCCGGAUACAUUUGGUAGCUCAUACUAUAAGGAUACUUUGUCCUAGUGGGUGUGGAAGUGAAAUUAGUUUUGAGGGUUCUAUAUGCUUUAUUUAUUGUAACAACUCAAGAUCUUUGAAUA
Amphimedon queenslandica is the source of this 610-nucleotide long non-coding RNA. RefSeq lists it as uncharacterized. NCBI's taxonomy places the organism in Eukaryota, Metazoa, Porifera, Demospongiae, Haplosclerida, Niphatidae. The record is from RefSeq and is a predicted model, not a curated record. The transcript is spliced from 3 exons.